Long non-coding RNA from Sapajus apella (tufted capuchin), 106 nucleotides. RefSeq lists it as uncharacterized. Lineage: Eukaryota; Metazoa; Chordata; Mammalia; Primates; Cebidae. The transcript is spliced from 3 exons. The record is from RefSeq and is a predicted model, not a curated record.
GGCCCCAGGACUCAUUCUGUGCUAUUUACUAAAUAGAAACAUAUAGUUCGUCCACCAUAUGACAUAUAAAAAAAAAUUCAUGCCGGGCGCGGUGGCUCAAGCCUGU